Molecule: ribosomal RNA, 568 nt
Filed under: uncultured bacterium
Lineage: Bacteria
Description: bacterial SSU rRNA
Rfam family: Bacterial small subunit ribosomal RNA
Source: RNAcentral
CCUACGGGAGGCAGCAGUGGGGAAUAUUGCACAAUGGGCGAAAGCCUGAUGCAGCGACGCCGCGUGAGGGAUGACGGCCUUCGGGUUGUAAACCUCUUUCAGCAGGGAAGAAGCGAAAGUGACGGUACCUGCAGAAGAAGCGCCGGCUAACUACGUGCCAGCAGCCGCGGUAAUACGUAGGGCGCAAGCGUUGUCCGGAAUUAUUGGGCGUAAAGAGCUCGUAGGCGGCUUGUCACGUCGGAUGUGAAAGCCCGGGGCUUAACCCCGGGUCUGCAUUCGAUACGGGCUAGCUAGAGUGUGGUAGGGGAGAUCGGAAUUCCUGGUGUAGCGGUGAAAUGCGCAGAUAUCAGGAGGAACACCGGUGGCGAAGGCGGAUCUCUGGGCCAUUACUGACGCUGAGGAGCGAAAGCGUGGGGAGCGAACAGGAUUAGGUACCCUGGUAGUCCACGCCGUAAACGUUGGGAACUAGGUGUUGGCGACAUUCCACGUCGUCGGUGCCGCAGCUAACGCAUUAAGUUCCCCGCCUGGGGAGUACGGCCGCAAGGCUAAAACUCAAAGGAAUUGACGG